This 253-nucleotide ribosomal RNA is filed under the name uncultured bacterium. Its description in RNAcentral is "partial 16S ribosomal RNA". It matches the Rfam family "Bacterial small subunit ribosomal RNA", at positions 524 to 776 of the family's 1533-position model. The record is from RNAcentral.
UACGGAGGGUGCAAGCGUUAUCCGGAUUUACUGGGGUUAAAGGGUGCGUAGGUGGGCGAGAAAGUCAGUGGUGAAAUCUCCGGGCUUAACCCGGAAACUGCCAUUGAUACUAUUUAUCUUGAAUUCUGUUGAGGUGGGCGGAAUACAUCAUGUAGCGGUGAAAUGCUUAGAUAUGAUGUAGAACACCGAUUGCGAAGGCAGCUCACUAACCAGACAUUGACGCUGAGGCACGAAAGCGUGGGGAUCAAACAGG